GCCUAACCAUAACACAACAAUAAAAUCACCUAUUGUUCGCCAAAUAACUACGAGUAAAAACUUAAAAUUUAAAAGACUUGACGGUACUUCACACCAACCUAGAGGAGCCUGUUCAAUAACCGAUACUCCACGAUUAACCCGACCCCCCCUAGCCCACAGUCUAUAUACCGCCGUCGCCAGCCUACCUUGUGAAAGAAACAAAGUAAGCCAAAUAGCUACACACUAACACGACAGGUCGAGGUGUAACUAAUGGGGGGGAUCAAAAUGGGCUACAUUUUCUAAUACAGAAAACACGGAUAAACCAUGAAAAAGAAACUGAAGGAGGAUUUAGCAGUAUGCUAGGAACAAAAUACCUGGCCGAAAUUUGCAAUGAAGUGCGUACACACCGCCCGUCAUCCCUGUUAAUAAACUAAAACCAUUCAUAAACAACAAACAAUCUUAAAGCAGGGCAAGUCGUAACAUGGUAAGCGUACUGGAAAGUGUGCUUAGAAA
RNAcentral lists this ribosomal RNA (492 nucleotides) under Boiga cyanea (green cat snake). RNAcentral's name for it is "partial 12S ribosomal RNA". It matches the Rfam family "Bacterial small subunit ribosomal RNA", at positions 875 to 1520 of the family's 1533-position model. Lineage: Eukaryota; Metazoa; Chordata; Lepidosauria; Squamata; Colubridae. The record is from RNAcentral.